Molecule: ribosomal RNA, 253 nt
Filed under: uncultured bacterium
Lineage: Bacteria
Description: partial 16S ribosomal RNA
Rfam family: Bacterial small subunit ribosomal RNA
Source: RNAcentral
UACGUAGGGUGCGAGCGUUGUUCGGAAUUACUGGGCGUAAAGGGCUCGUAGGCGGCCAACUAAGUCGGAUGUGAAAUCCCCAAGCUUAACUUGGGAACUGCAUCCGAUACUGGAUGGCUUGAAUCCGGGAGAGGGAUGCAGAAUUCCAGGUGUAGCGGUGAAAUGCGUAGAUAUCUGGAGGAAUACCGGUGGCGAAGGCGGCAUCCUGGACCGGCAUUGACGCUGAGGAGCGAAAGCUAGGGGAGCAAACGGG